GGACAUAGUUCAGUUGGUACAGUGCUUGUCUGGCAUGCACAAGGCUCUGAGUUCAAUCCUCAGUACCA
This 68-nucleotide transfer RNA is filed under the name Marmota monax (woodchuck). RNAcentral's name for it is "tRNA.Ala". Lineage: Eukaryota; Metazoa; Chordata; Mammalia; Rodentia; Sciuridae. The record is from RNAcentral.